Dermacentor silvarum is the source of this 6724-nucleotide long non-coding RNA. RefSeq lists it as uncharacterized. Lineage: Eukaryota; Metazoa; Arthropoda; Arachnida; Ixodida; Ixodidae. The record is from RefSeq and is a predicted model, not a curated record. The transcript is spliced from 2 exons.
GGGGUAAACAAGUUCACCAAGAAGCUACGCAGUCCUGACGUGAUUCCAAACAACGAAGUCAUGGACUUCCUGAGUCGCGUGCCUGACAACGAAGAAAAGGUGAUGUACCGCGAGUUGCGGCCGGCGCCCAGCGCGGCCCUGGAGGCCGAGCGCAAGAAGAAGAAGAAGAUCAGCUGAUCAUGGGCGGCCCGACGCCAGGGCUGCUCGCUCAACGUGUUUCGCAUCAAGGACAACGAAGCCCUGCGCCGGCGCCUGCAGCUGCCGCGCUGGCCGUUCGGCCUGCCUUCCAGGUGACGCUGGUGUCGUCGCCCACGAUUCUUCGUCAACGCUGGCCGCCUUCUCUGCGGCGAGUCCCACACCGCGGCACAGUGUGAUGCACUCCGGUUUUCAGUCCUGUGUCGUCUAUGUCAUUGCGUUCAUCUCUCUAGGGUGUGUGUCCCUCUUGUGCGAGAACAGCGUCCAUCACGCAGGUGGUUCUGUUCGUCGAAGGAACAGCGCCGAGAGAAAGGUUGUUAAACAGAUCGAGGAAUGUCAUUGUUUACGCGUUGUAAUAAUAAACAAAGCAAGAAUGAUGUUUAGACGAGGAAUGCAAACGUCACCAAACGCCGGAAUCUCAGCGAUUUCUCUUUCCUGGAGAUACGUUACCUAUGGCAUCUUUUACGUGGCUCUCGAGUAGGUCAUGUAGUCGACUUGCGGCCAGCUCGAAGCAUACAGCCUUGCGGGCUGUUGGUGCCAAUGUACCCAGUGCAGUCAACCAGAAGCUACAGCUUACAAUGCCCCAAUUUUUUACAACUGCCAAAACAUUCACGUUUCUCGCGAGUGUCUUGCAAAAUACGAUUCUUUCAGCAGAUUCACGUGUCUUUCGAGCGUCUAGCAAAACGCAUCUACUAAGGAGAUUAGUGCGUCCAUUUAAACAGCCAAAUUACUUGCCACAUCGAAAUAGCACGUUUCUUUCGCGUCGUGUUCGAACACCAGGAGGCGCUUGAUUUUUAUCACGUUUUUUCAAACUGCCAGUGUGAGGCAGUUGCCUGUUGGUACCGUUACGAUAUGAAUGCCUUGAUUGUUGACCAUGCGUUCUUGUUAUUGUUGCCGCAACUCGAACGUAAUGUGUUCAAUGAUAAAUGAAUUGUUGUUCCAAUGCAGUUAACAAGCCCGGCGGCCGCGCGAAGGCUUUUCUUAUUACUGUCAAGACAUUACUGAAAAAAAUUGCGUUCCCUAAGGUUCCCCAGAGAGGCCAUUGUUCGACCGCCGAAAUAUGUUCGGAGUUGCUAUGAGCGCUCUGAAGGCGAACCCGCCGCGGUUUGAGUGAUAAAUAUCCCGUGCCAGGAAUAUGCUUCUCAUCUAAACGAGUUCUGACGGUGCUGUGUAGACGUUUAGUUGCUUCAAACUCGAUGCAAUCUUUGACACGUCUUGGCCGCCUGCAUAUGGGCGGGCACGUUAGGCUUCGUUCUACGGUCAAGUGGUAAGGAGGGUCAAGAAUAAAUCUGAUUGAUCCUUGACGACGUCCCCUGUUGAACCUUAGGUGCGGCGUGUAUGAGCUCACCGCAGGUGAAAGGAACAGGCUGUGGGCUGCUAACAAAACUCUGAAUACGUUGUUAGAUUCGUCCUGCAUUCAGAAAUACUUGUACAUAAUCAAGAUUUCAAAGCUAAAUGCAACGGUUGUUUGUCUUCAUGUUUUCUCGCUGUACGGGGCCGUCUGAUGAUUUAUGGUUUCAUCGCAAGUAUUUUGGGUCGCCGAAGUAGGAGGCCGUGCGUUCUUGCCUGUAAUUUGCGUGAAAUGAUGCCCAGACUUCUUGUUGUGUUCAGAAAUACUUGUACAUAAUCAAGAUUUCAAAGCUAAAUGCAAUGCCUGUUUGUCUUCAUGUUCUCUCGCUGUACAGCCCUUCUGAUGAUUUACAGCUUCAUCGCAACUAUUUUGGGUCGCCGAAGUAGGAGGCCAUGCGUUAUUGCCUGACAUUUGUGUCAAUUGAUGCCCACACUUGAUGUUUUGUAGGUUGUGGAAAAAUGCUUUCUCUCAAAGCGUGCGUAUGUUUGUUGGUUUUGUACAGAACACGCACUGUUAUGUGCGUGAUAAUACAUGCCAUAAAGGAAACUGUCGUGCUCUCAAGCGCUUGUACACAUAGUACGUAUACUCCACAUUCUGCACGGUGCCAAAGAUGUUUCAGUGCACUCUUCCACCACGAGUUGGUUGUCAAGCGUUGUGCUGCUUCCCUUUUUAUUAUUUCAUAUUCUCAAUUCUGUUCUGUUACUGCUCGGGCUAUGUCGAAAGUGGUGUGCUACAGAAGGUGUAAGGAUUUUUCGUCUUUUAUAUGUUUUGUGAUGCUACCACCAUAGCCUUUCGUGUGGCUACUUUAAUUUGCAGCGUGGGUAACUCUCGUACUUUGUCCAAAUUCAAGGAAACGAUGUUAACGUUCGCUCGAUGCUCGAUUACAUUGUUUUUUACUACGGGACAAGGUCUCACUGGUUAAUCGACGGCUCUCAGAAACAAUUUUAGAAGUUAUGUGCGCGGGGAGCUGCCAAAGAUUGCAGACAGGGCCACGCCCACCUUACCUGAUUCAGCAUUGUUUUUGUGUAUACGUGCCUGUGCGUGCAGGAGCAAUCUUUGCGUGAAAUAGAAGAAAAUGAAAUAUUACUGGUUGGAGAGUCUGGUAAUCCUCCGCAAGCUGAAGGAAACAGAUCAGAGGCACGGCUCGUGGCUCUGAAGUAAGCGAUAAACGAAACUUGAAAUCUAAGCACUUCUUUAGGCACGGCACCGGAAUCACCACACGGAUUGCCUUUCUGUUUUUGAAUAAACGUUUUUCUGUAUCUCUUCGCUAUGCUUGAGCGCGUGAGCGGAGUGGGUCAUAAAACGCACUUAGUUUAGUACUGGAUGCAAGGGUGCGCGGAUAGUAUCUGAGUCCGAAUCGAAUCGAACAGUUCCAGAAGGGAAUCGAACCGAAUAAAUUUUUAAAUAAUGGACAAUAAUAUGAAAUGAUUUUCACAUCCUAGUAUAUUGCAAACGUUUGCAAGCUUCUGUCAUUACCUUGAAAGUUAUAAAGCGUUGUUUAUUAAAGUCACAAGUAAAGCAUUAGGAACGAAUAAGCAGUUCGCUCACAUACUCGGGACUCCUUGGUGAGGGCGAAUGGUAGUGGUUUAGCCGGAGGACAAGUCUGGCUCCUUCAGUUAUGUAUAGCGUGCUGGGACGAAACCGUCGCCGGGAGGAAAUUUGUAGCACUUUUGCACCAAUUUCAUGUUUGAUCGGUGUCCGUUGAUAGCCUAAAAGAUUCGAAAACUGUUCGAAAACUGUUCCUAUUUACGAGUAGUGACUAUUCAAUUCGAAGACCGAGUCUGAUUUGACAAAUAUUCGAAUCGCUAUUCGAAAGUUGCAAAUAUUCUCACAGCCCUACUCUUAUGAAAACGCUGUAGUAUUAAUAAACACUGUAGCUAUAGAAACGCUCGACACUUGCUAGCCGCGCUGUCAAAAUUUUCGAGGUCAAUUAGCGCACUGCUGUUGCUGUUUAAAGGUUGUUUAAUCGUGUUUACGCAGCACUUCCUACUCUCUUACGAUAUACUCGAGAAAACAGGAACUCUUUCUUACUCUCCAAGUCUUAGGAUUGCCAUCGAUGUACAAGAACCGUCACAUUGUUGACUCGCUGAAUGGCGCGGCCAGUGUUUGACACAGUCGGUGUAUGUUCCUCUGUGUCAAUGUUGUCAAACCAGUUUACUUGUUUCUUGUUCUGAAGGCUUACUGUAAUACUGCACCGUUAGCCUUGAAUUGGAACGUUUCUAAGCAAAAUGAAAUGCUAAUGCAUUAAGAGCCUCGAGUGAGUAUCUCUACAGGAGUGAAUACGCUUUUGUGGCUAAUGCAAAGGUUAGCGUGGUCCUGUCAUUGCGUUAUCUUCCGUGCGCUUCUCUCGCUGAAUUCGCAGCCACCCUACUCUUAUUCAACGCUUCUUUAAAAGUAGCUGGCGGCUGCCUUCUUCUUCGCAUUGCGACUAGAACUGCAUCGCUAUGGCUUUCUCUCAUUGGAAAGCGACGCAUGUCGACAGUCGUCUAGUCCACGUCUGCAGUAUCUGCAGGAAUCAAACGGUAUCUCUUGAGCAGACACCCCAUUAUUUAGCUUUCCUUAUCCGAUGUCGUGGGGCAAGCGUAAUGUCUGCAUAGAAUCUAGUCGGAAGAUUCAAAGUGUCCACGGAGCAUUCUCACUAAGAAUCGUCUGCUGCCAAUGUACCUCAGAGGCAUUAAAUCUCAUGCUUGAUGUACUGUACUUUUGAUAUCGUAGCUUUUUCCGUGACGCGCGCUGCAUGUUAGAGGAGCAGCGAUUUUAGGACUGAUUUGGCAGUGUUGGCCGUACCUCUGUAAGCCCGGGGCUGCCAAGUGGAACGCCAAAUCACAUUUCUACUUCCACAGCCACUUAUACAAUCGUUGCGUUACGCAUGAGGCUGGCCUGUUACUUACCUGUGUUCAUAUGCCUUGCGGCAACAGGAUCGAAUCAAAAGGAUGAGAUCGCAUGUGUUCACCAGUAGCAAGGCCUCGCUGAUUGGUAUUUUCUCACAUUAGUAAAGGUAAUAUCCCCCACCCCCCAAUUUCAUAAUUUUCGAGCUCGUCGUCAAGCGGAGGAACACCUGCUGUAAAUAAGCGGCUAUCGCCAGCCGCGUUGUGUUGUUUGAGCGCAAAUAUAUUAGUACAUAACUCAAUGCAUUAAGCGAAUGGUGUCAUCAUGAGACCCUUGAAACUUGUUUGAAGCCCACGCGACAUACUAAGUGCUAACUAACUUAGUACACACUAAGUUCUUCCCUUGCUUUCAUACGUCUUAGGUGAGUAUAGUGAAACCCGCGAGCACUCACGUGCUGUGUUUACGGCCGCAUAUGCGUAUUAAAAGUAUGAGAUUCUCACCGUAAGCCAUUGUCUAGACAAGGAACUUCGCAAUGAGUUAAACUUUUUCCCGGGCCUGUUUCGAAAGCACCGAAAAUUUCACUACUGCAAAAUACAAAUACAUCCCAUUUGCAGCGUGCGUCCUGGAAGACGCUACACAAGCACAUUUGAUGGUUGCUGGAGUGUGUGUCUGCCUGUGAAUACUGUGUAUACAUCUGUGAAUACAACGCAGUGUCGAGAGCUAACCGGACGCGUUUUGUACUUAAGAUAGCUUUGAACCACUGCUUUUCAUGCCUAUCUCUCCUUUCUCCCCGUGAGGCUGUUCAUCGUUCGCUCCUCCGCUAUUGCUCCAGCAAAUUCCCUGACGCUGGAUCCUAUCGAACAUGCCGUGCCUUUUUAAGCUCUGCGUAUAACUAUUAUAUGUAUUUGUGUAUUCGUGCUAUUGUGUGUGUGAAUGUGUGUGUGUGCGUGUGUUGCAUGGGUUUGUGAAACACACCCACCAAAGAAAUUGGACGUGGCGGACGGAUCACCGUAAGGCGUUUCCAAGCGUUUCCCGGGUCGCAGUUAUAACCUUAUCGAUGACAGUGUCCCAACGAUGACGAAAAUAAGUCCAGGUCAUUUCAAUAAAGCAAAGUUUUUUUCCAAAGGAUGUGUUCCAGAACGUCAACGCAGUAAAUACUUUUAACGAAAUAGUAAUUGCACGCCAUGAGGUUUUACAGCCAUCAGUAUAAUUGGAUGAUUGUGGAAAAAAAGGAAAUUUAACUUCUAGUGGUAUCUAUGCUUACAAAUUCACUCUGCAAAAAGUGCUCUUAUCAGCGGUAGUGAUAUAAAAAAUUAACAAAUACACCAUAAGGCUUACUGUGUCUUUGAAUUCCGAAUAUUGUGGUUAUAAUUUUGCACUUCCGAACGUCCCUUGCUCAGUGGCACUCCGAGUACCACUUUGAUAAUUACCUGACUGGAUAUCCAGCGGAUCUUGAGUGCCGGCAUUGCUGCAUUGUGUUCUCUUGAUUGCUACUCGAGAUUGAAACAGACUAUAAGCAGGAGAUUGCGUGCUCAGAAUAAUAUGGACAUGUAUGUCAGUUUUUGUGCGUGCCACGCAAUUACGCGAACAGUGUGUGUGCCAAUACGUUGCUUCACCGAAUGCCAACCAAUACCCUAAUGCGCUGCAACCUUGGAUACACGUUCAGUAAUUCUGCCGGUGUUUCCUUUUUCAUUACACCGAAAAUUCAUGCACGAGCUAUUUGAACACUGUAGACACAGUGAGCUCAUGGUUCUUAGCCACCUGUGGGAACGCUAGGCAUGCUUUUACGUGGACAGGUCUUUUUGCAGCAUGACCGACAUGUGGGUGUAUUGAUUACACUGUUGUUCAGGUACGCUUGCCGUGUCUUCUCAAUUGCUAUAAGAGGCAAGUUUGUAGCGCGACUGUCGCCAGAGGUACGGCCCUUCGUUAUGCGAUGCAGUGACGAUGUGCGGCAGGAUCGCGUUUAUGUUCCUUCUUUGCUCACUUUCGAAUGCAAAUUGUGUGUUGUUAAUAGACGCGUGGUGCCUGUACAUAUGGCGUCUUGCUGUUUUACAUAUCAUUAUAGUUGUGUGUUACUCGUCACCAUAAGUGUGUAAGAUCUCGAAGAGAUCAUCCGCAUAGCGCUUAUUUUUGUUAAUUCGUUGGAAGGUUUCUGCCGCACGUGAGUGGCUCACGUGUUCUUCCGCACUUCACCGUGUUGUGCGAGAAAAAAAAAAAAAAAAACCACGAUCAAGUGCAUGUGGUUGUGAAAUCCUCGUAACGCUCUUGUAAAAUUGCGGCUAGCCGUGUUCUCUCGCGAAGGCGUAUGUUGACAUUCCAGAAGAUGAAUUAAAUGCUUUUUCAAUGCAA